GUUGCUCAAAAUUCUUUGCACAGACCAGCAGUACUUCUUCAUCUUUCCAGUUUGCAGCUCUUAGAUGGAGUGAUGGUAACUCUGGAGGAGCGGACCAGGGCUGAGCUCUUAAAAGCAGAUCCAGCACAAUGCUCUCAAGUCGUUGGAGCGUCUUUCUCUACCACGGAAUUCAACCUGCCAGGGCUGCCCCCACUUCUGGCUUAUAACACGACUAUUAAAGGAAUAAGCAUAAAUGGCAGACCACAAAACCUCAUGCACGGACAUGAAACACUGACAGGCAAAAAGCACAAGCACGGUAAUGCUGGUCGAAGCAGCCAAACUGACUAUAACAUCAGACACAGUCGAAGAACGGGAAGUAACCCACCAGCAAGCCGCGUCCUGUUAGAGGGAAACAGAACUGCAAAUUCAAAAAAGGAGCCAGACACCAGGUUGUCCAUGACAAGAAUUCAGAAUUAAUUUCAUACUUGUAUAAAAUAAAAAAACUAAAGUAAACAAGUUGAUAAACAUCUUCUGCUUUUCUCUUUCUCCAGAUGUUCAUUUGAUGACAAACAUCAACACAUGUAGCUUGCUGAGAUGGUGGGUCAUUCAGGAAACACAGUCCGAGUGCAAGAUCACACCCCAACGUCUGAGCUUUAAUUUAAAAACAAUCAUUUUUGUUAGCAUUUAUGGUGAGAAAUUGCAUGUGUCUUUCAGUUUUCUUAAGUACCAAUAAAUCUCUUUAGCUUUGAUAUAAUCAUGUGAAUAUUUUUGUUGAUUUAAAUAAUUUGCUGCUAUUACAUUAAAUUGGUUAAAACGUUAACGUGAGAUAAAUAAAAGUGUAUCUAUAGGAGGAAAUCCUGC
RNAcentral lists this long non-coding RNA (840 nucleotides) under Oryzias sinensis (Chinese medaka). RNAcentral describes it as "lncRNA (ENSOSIG00000007120.1)". Lineage: Eukaryota; Metazoa; Chordata; Actinopteri; Beloniformes; Adrianichthyidae. The record is from RNAcentral.